RNAcentral lists this unclassified non-coding RNA (520 nucleotides) under uncultured Glomus. Its description in RNAcentral is "SSU rRNA". It matches the Rfam family "Eukaryotic small subunit ribosomal RNA", at positions 569 to 1092 of the family's 1831-position model. Lineage: Eukaryota; Fungi; Glomeromycota; Glomeromycetes; Glomerales; Glomeraceae. The record is from RNAcentral.
AGCAGCCGCGGUAAUUCCAGCUCCAAUAGCGUAUAUUAAAGUUGUUGCAGUUAAAAAGCUCGUAGUUGAAUUUCGGGAUCAAUAUGUUGGUCGUGCCUCGGUACGUACUAGCUUAUUGGUUUCUCCUUUCUGAGGAACCAUGAUGUCAUUUAUUUGGUGUCGUGGGGAAUCAGGACUGUUACUUUGAAAAAAUUAGAGUGUUUAAAGCAGGCUCACGCUUGAAUACAUUAGCAUGGAAUAAUGAAAUAGGACGUUUGAUUCUAUUUUGUUGGUUUCUAGGAUCGACGUAAUGAUUAAUAGGGAUAGUUGGGGGCAUUAGUAUUCAAUUGUCAGAGGUGAAAUUCUUGGAUUUAUUGAAGACUAACUACUGCGAAAGCAUUUGCCAAGGAUGUUUUCAUUAAUCAAGAACGAAAGUUAGGGGAUCGAAGACGAUCAGAUACCGUCGUAGUCUUAACCAUAAACUAUGCCGACUAGGGAUCGGAUGAUGUUAAUUUUUUAAUGACUCAUUCGGCGCCUUACG